AGAUUAUUAUCCUAAUUUAAAGAUGAGACAAUUAGAGUCACAGAAAUUAAGUGAAUUCUUUAAGGUAUUAAAACUGACCAGAAUCCAACCACAGGAUAUCUGAGUUCAUAUCUCAUACACCUUUCUGCCAAACCAUUCCCUUGAAAUAUGUAAUUAUUCUUUCUUUUUGAGUACAGAACAUACAGAAGACCUGACUACCUAAUAAAAUGUAAGAUUGAUGACUUCACAUAUGCAAAUGAUGGAAUUCUGGGCCUUCAAACAAUGAUUAAGUGAAUUCAAAGCUUCUACAGAGUUAGUCAGUCCAACCUCUUCCUAAAUGUAUUUUUUAUCUCAGACUUUCCCCAGAGACUAGAUUCCAGGUCAUGCAGAAUCAUGUGAAAUCAUGUGGAUAAAGAAAUUUGCCCACUAUAUUAGUGUCAGACAUUCCUGGAUAAAUGAUGAUGAAGACAGAAGUGGGAGUGAAUGACACUGAAGACAGAAUUGGUAGUUGGAGACAAGGAUGAGGGCAGGAGUAGAGAGAUGCGGAAAUUCACCAGAUGAUGUUUACUCAGAAGCACCCAGGGAAUACUUUAGAGUCUACUGAGGAGUCACUGCUCAAUCACUGGGACGAGACAAGCACCCCUCAGUACCAAUCAAUACCAUGCAAGCCUUCAAUGAAGAAAAGCAAACCCUUCUUCCUGAAGGAUUUUACUUCCUGCCUGCCUGCUCUGCCCUGUGUUGAAGGCAUUGUAAUCCUUC
This 738-nucleotide long non-coding RNA is filed under the name Vulpes vulpes (red fox). RNAcentral's name for it is "lncRNA (ENSVVUG00000003138.1)". The record is from RNAcentral. Lineage: Eukaryota; Metazoa; Chordata; Mammalia; Carnivora; Canidae.